GCGGGGGUGGCCGAGCGGUUAAGGCGGCAGACUCAAGAUCUGCUGGGCGCAGGCCCGUCGGGGGUUCGAGUCCCUUCCCCCGCA
This 84-nucleotide transfer RNA is filed under the name Methanobacteriota archaeon. RNAcentral's name for it is "Euryarchaeota archaeon (groundwater metagenome) tRNA-Leu". It matches the Rfam family "tRNA". From Rfam's summary of the family: Transfer RNA (tRNA) molecules are approximately 80 nucleotides in length. Their secondary structure includes four short double-helical elements and three loops (D, anti-codon, and T loops). Further hydrogen bonds mediate the characteristic L-shaped molecular structure. tRNAs have two regions of fundamental functional importance: the anti-codon, which is responsible for specific mRNA codon recognition, and the 3' end, to which the tRNAs corresponding amino acid is attached (by aminoacyl-tRNA synthetases). tRNAs cope with the degeneracy of the genetic code in two manners: having more than one tRNA (with a specific anti-codon) for a particular amino acid; and 'wobble' base-pairing, i.e. permitting non-standard base-pairing at the 3rd anti-codon position. The record is from RNAcentral. Lineage: Archaea; Methanobacteriati; Methanobacteriota.